UACGUAGGGGGCAAGCGUUGUCCGGAAUCAUUGGGCGUAAAGAGCGUGUAGGCGGCUCGGUAAGUCCGCUGUGAAAGUCCAGGGCUCAACCCUGGAAUGCCGGUGGAAACUGUCGAGCUAGAGUCCGGAAGAGGCGAGUGGAAUUCCUGGUGUAGCGGUGAAAUGCGCAGAUAUCAGGAGGAACACCAAUGGCGAAGGCAGCUCGCUGGGACGGUACUGACGCUGAGACGCGAAAGCGUGGUGAGCAAACAGG
RNAcentral lists this ribosomal RNA (253 nucleotides) under uncultured bacterium. Its description in RNAcentral is "partial 16S ribosomal RNA". It matches the Rfam family "Bacterial small subunit ribosomal RNA", at positions 524 to 776 of the family's 1533-position model. The record is from RNAcentral.